RNAcentral lists this ribosomal RNA (30 nucleotides) under Russula subrubescens. Its description in RNAcentral is "partial 18S ribosomal RNA". Lineage: Eukaryota; Fungi; Basidiomycota; Agaricomycetes; Russulales; Russulaceae. The record is from RNAcentral.
UCGAUAGGUGAACCUGCGGAAGGAUCAUUA